RNAcentral lists this ribosomal RNA (459 nucleotides) under uncultured bacterium. RNAcentral's name for it is "partial 16S ribosomal RNA". It matches the Rfam family "Bacterial small subunit ribosomal RNA", at positions 28 to 507 of the family's 1533-position model. The record is from RNAcentral.
GAUGAACGCUGGCGGCGCGCCUAACACAUGCAAGUCGAACGGCACCUAUCUUCGGAUAGACGCGAGUGGCGAACGGCUGAGUAACACGUGGAGAACCUGCCCCCUCCCCCGGGAUAGCCGCCCGAAAGGACGGGUAAUACCGGAUACCCCGGGGUGCCGCAUGGCACCCCGGCUAAAGCCCCGACGGGAGGGGAUGGCUCCGCGGCCCAUCAGGUAGACGGCGGGGUGACGGCCCACCGUGCCGACAACGGGUAGCCGGGUUGAGAGACCGACCGGCCAGAUUGGGACUGAGACACGGCCCAGACUCCUACGGGAGGCAGCAGUGGGGAAUCUUGCGCAAUGGGGGGAACCCUGACGCAGCGACGCCGCGUGCGGGACGGAGGCCUUCGGGUCGUAAACCGCUUUCAGCAGGGAAGAGUCAAGACUGUACCUGCAGAAGAAGCCCCGGCUAACUACGUG